AAACAAGCAAAUGAUGACAAGGCUAACUCAAAGAGUA
Molecule: small RNA, 37 nt
Filed under: Arabidopsis thaliana (thale cress)
Lineage: Eukaryota; Viridiplantae; Streptophyta; Magnoliopsida; Brassicales; Brassicaceae
Description: ATSL151630
Source: RNAcentral